This 386-nucleotide unclassified non-coding RNA is filed under the name soil metagenome. RNAcentral describes it as "partial contains 5.8S ribosomal RNA, internal transcribed spacer 2, and large subunit ribosomal RNA". The stretch from base 1 to 122 matches the Rfam family "5.8S ribosomal RNA", at positions 35 to 154 of the family's 154-position model. The record is from RNAcentral.
GAUGAAGAACGUAGCGAAAUGCGAUAAGUAAUGUGAAUUGCAGAAUUCAGUGAAUCAUCGAAUCUUUGAACGCACCUUGCACCCUUUGGACUGCUCCAAAGGGUAUGCUCGUUUGAGUGUCAUUGUACUCUCACACUCUCUGAUCCUUUGGAUUUGGGGAGCAGUGGACUUGGGUGCUUGCUGCUUCCUUGUGGCUCACCUGAAAUGCAUCAGUGCAUCUCUCGAUUGGACAUAGUACGGCGUGAUAAGUGUCUUCGCCGGCACCUCAUAUGAGGGUGGCCGAUCGGGAGCUCUGUGCUUUCAAACCGUCUUCGGACAACGCUGACAACUUGACCUCAAAUCGAGUAGGACUACCCGCUGAACUUAAGCAUAUCAAUAAGCGGAGG